UCAGACGAUGCGUCAUGCAUAUCAAUAAGCGGAGGAAAAGAAACUAACAAGGAUUCCCCUAGUAACGGCGAGUGAAGCGGGAAGAGCUCAAAUUUGAAAUCUUAAAGGGUUUCCCUUUACGAAUUGUAGUUUAAAGAAGUGUUUUCUGUUGAGGUUUUGGUAAAAGUUCUUUGGAAUAGGACAUCAUAGAGGGUGAGAAUCCCGUAUUUGACCUUUACUUUCAACUUUGUGAUACACUUUCAAAGAGCCGGAUUGUUUGGGAAUGCAGUCCAAAAUGGGUGGUAAAUUUCAUCUAAAGCUAAAUAUUGGCGAGAGACCGAUAGCGAACAAGUACCGUGAGGGAAAGAUGAAAAGAACUUUGAAAAGAGAGUUAAACAGUACGUGAAAUUGUCAAAAGGGAAGCGUUUGACACCAGUGUUGUUUUUCUGAAAAUCAAUUAAAGAACUGUUUAUGCUAAGCUGUUUAGACUUUAUCAGCUAUCUGUUUAGUUUUGAGCUUUUCUUUAAUGCACUUUUCAGUUAACAAGUCAACAUCAAUUUCUUUUGCUGUAAAAAAGCUUGAGGAAGGUGGCUUGAGAUUCGUCUUAAGUGUUUAUAGCCUCUUGCCUAUGCAGUCGGAGAGAUUGAGGUCUGCAGCGUAGAUCCUUCGAGGCUAAAUGCAUUUGUGCUAAGUUAUAGCAUUUUAUAGACAACUUGUUGACUAUGAUUUGUCUUGUAGCUUACUCGCUUAUGUUAUUUUACCUACGCUUAGGAUGUUGACACACGCGCGUGCUCG
This 774-nucleotide ribosomal RNA is filed under the name uncultured Neocallimastigales. RNAcentral's name for it is "partial large subunit ribosomal RNA". It matches the Rfam family "Eukaryotic large subunit ribosomal RNA", at positions 18 to 643 of the family's 3401-position model. The record is from RNAcentral. Lineage: Eukaryota; Fungi; Neocallimastigomycota; Neocallimastigomycetes; Neocallimastigales.